Molecule: small nuclear RNA, 108 nt
Filed under: Microcebus murinus (gray mouse lemur)
Lineage: Eukaryota; Metazoa; Chordata; Mammalia; Primates; Cheirogaleidae
Source: RNAcentral
GUGCUCGCUUCAGCAACACAUAACUAAAAACUUGGAACAAUGCAGAGAAGAUUAGCAUGGACCCUGUGCAAGGAUGGCAUGCAAAUUCAUGAAGCAUUCCAUAUUUUU